GCGAUUUUAAACCACUCCGGUUCUCCGCCGCCACUCCCGCUUUAUACGGCGACGAUAUUAAACCGCUCCGGCUCUCCGCCGGCGCCAACAUCAUCGUCUUCACCUUCCUGUAGUGUCCGGUUCACUUGCUCAAUCUCUCCGACGACAAGAACUUUUGCUUUUAUGAGACCGACGACUCUAUCGUCGUCUUCUUCUAGACGGAGUUCGCAAAUUGUUCGUAUGGCGCCGGAAGAAGAGAAGAUGACUCGUCGUUCUCCGCUCGAUUUUCCUAUCGUAAGCUUGCGAAAACUCCAUUUUUUAUUUAAGUUUUAUUGGAGCUGCGCUUUUCUGUUAGCUAUUAUGAACAUGCAGCUUAAGUUUUUGCUAAGAGUAGAAUCUAUUAGUAUGUAGAAAUUAGAGAGAGAUAGUUUUUGGUUGGUUAAGUGUGAGCUUUUUUGUUGCUAUUUGGUUGAAUUAAAUUGUGCUAAUGCACUCAAAUGCCAAAUCCGUUCAGAAAAUAGCAAAGGAAAUUGCAAUUUGAUCUGUGAUAAAGUUUAAAUCUAUGAUUAAGAGAUGAAGCUUAUAGGUUUAAUCUAGAUACAGUUGUUGAUUAUUUAGGUGGGAAUGAUUGUUGCUGUUUGGAUGAAUUGAAUUGUGCAUUUACACACACUCAGGGUGUUGCCUAGUGGUUAAUGUAGAAAGUUGAGCAUCAUGAGGUUUCACGUUCAAAUUUCAACAGAGACGAAACACUCGGUGAAAUUUUUCUACUUAUUCUAGUCUUGGUAGACAGGGUCACAUGGUACCAGUUAUUGGUAGGAGGUGACAGUAUUUCGUGUAAUUAGUCGAGGUGCACGCAAGCUGGCUUGGAUGAUUAUAAAAAAAUUGUGCAUCUCAAAAAUAUCAAGCUACCGAUUUUGGUUUAAUAUGGUCAAAAAGAGUGUCAUUUCUGAAAUUGUAUCCAAAGUGGUGUAAAAUUCACACCAACCCGAACUCCCUAUGCUCAUAAAUAAAGUUAGCCCCUUUGAUUGGUCAGAGUGGUUCUUUUAGCAGUCUCAGGCAGUCCACCAUUUUGGCCGGUUGAAACAACCUAGAGGAAAGGUUGUCAGCCUACAUAACCAACUUUUGAUGCCAAGAAAGUUUUAAGUAUUGGUUGAGCCUCUCCUCUUUCCCACUUCAAGUUCCGGUACGUGAAAUGAUAUCCAAUGAUUAAUGUUUUAGUUGUCUGGUGGAGAGAUUACUCCUACCCACUACACCCCCCCAAGUACCAUCAUUGUGUUUGUUCAAGUUUCCCUUUUAGUCCUCAAAAGUGCUACCAAGAGAAGUACGACAAAAUAUAAAAAAUAAAAGAGAAGAACUUCGGUAGCAUCCUCCCAUUCUAUGCCUCUUCUAUAUUCUCACCGAUAUAUGGCUCUCCCGAGUUCACACCUCUGGCCCUUUACCAGGUAACCUUGAUUACCCGUCUUGUCACACGUCAUGGCCUAUUUUCCUCACCCUCAUCUGGUUCCCUUCCCUUCCUCUCUGCAAUGCAAAAUGGAUCUUUUCCCUCAUCCAUGCAGCUGGUUCCCUAUCUCUCCACUGGACGCACCACUCCAAAGGAGGAGAUGAUAGAAAGGAGGGGCCAGGGUAGCCACUAGCUGUCAGGCUAGGGUGGCGGGAAGGGGGAGUAGUAGAUGUAUGUGUUGCAAUUUUCCUUAUUUGCUUCCAUAGGCUACUCAAUGAGGUUUGAUGCUCAAUUUGUCAACCACUGGCCUUUGUUCAGCCCUUCCCGUAGUUGCAGGUACAACUCUUUCAUGGAUAUUGCAGCAGCAUGUAGAGGAGAACCCUCCCUCUCCCUUUACCUGGUGCUGUAAGUGGGUGCAAUGACAUCUCUCCGUAGCGUACUAAGAGGUGUACCGUCUCUUCCAACUAGCUAAUCUUGGUCUGCCAGGGAUCUGGUAACCAAAGAUACAGAGAUGCAAUACAAUUUUGAUCCUUUCAUUUAGUGUUAAUUUCUUGGAGCUUCUAAAAGCCCUUGGACACGUCUUUCUUGAAUUUCGAUGUCCUCAAUAAUAACCUUUACGUUAUGAUUCCACAUAGAAAAGUGUUGAAUUUAAGCCGAUACUGCAUUUUGCUUUCUAGAAUAAUUUCACUAAAGCUGCUAGGUAUUUUGAUGAAACUUGUUUUAUUUGCAGGAAUGGGAAAGACCCAAGCCCGGACGAAGACCAGAUAUCUUUCCCCAAUUCAGUCCCAUGAAAACUCCCUUGCCACCUCCUAUGCCG
Molecule: long non-coding RNA, 2237 nt
Filed under: Capsicum annuum
Lineage: Eukaryota; Viridiplantae; Streptophyta; Magnoliopsida; Solanales; Solanaceae
Description: long non-coding RNA (CANN_LNC007786)
Source: RNAcentral